CACGGCUAAACUACUCAUUAGAAUUUUCAGGAUGGAAAAUCUAAUUAUUUGGGGUUGUUCUUGGCUGAAAUAACUUGUGCAGGAUUCCUUCAGACGUGUGGUCAGCAUGAAGAUCAUGAAGAAUUCAAGGUUAAGAUCAAUGUUUUAGUUGAGACUGCACCAACAGUUCCUGAAGAAGUCUAGAAUAUCCACUACGGUACUCCUUGGCCUGUUAAUAAUGUGUGCGAUCAUCCUGCCAUGAAUGAUCAAGGUCUUCCUUGGAAACAACGGUCUUAACGAUGUAGAAAACUACGAGCUGCCUAGGCUGGUUUAUGUUCUCGUGAGGAGAGAGCCCAGAUCUGACCAUCAUAAGAAGGUUGAAGGAAUAAAUUUAUUGUAUUCAGUUGAAGAUAUGACUCUCUGGGGUUCUAUCAAAUGGUCUUGAUCUUCUGAAUGAAUGUCGACUGUGAUUAAUACAUCAACAUUAGCAAAGCUCUUAGAGAAGCAAUGUGUCCUUAGUCGGGAAAAAGCCAACAUUUGUCGUUUGAUCCUCUUCUCUCUAACUAAAUAUAAUGGUCUAACCGUGCGAGGCCAGUGUUAUCAAGGGUUACUUCAGCUGGGUGUUGAUGCGGAAGUUUUCCUGAUGGUGGUUGGCUUGCGGGAUGUAUAUAACAACAA
This is a long non-coding RNA of Brassica oleracea var. oleracea, 657 nucleotides long. RefSeq lists it as uncharacterized. NCBI's taxonomy places the organism in Eukaryota, Viridiplantae, Streptophyta, Magnoliopsida, Brassicales, Brassicaceae. The transcript has 5 exons. The record is from RefSeq and is a predicted model, not a curated record.